This is a non-coding RNA of Hemicordylus capensis (graceful crag lizard), 1257 nucleotides long. NCBI's taxonomy places the organism in Eukaryota, Metazoa, Chordata, Lepidosauria, Squamata, Cordylidae. The record is from the annotation of a RefSeq genome assembly.
AUGUACUGGUACCGGCAGGUUAAAGGGAAGGGUUUGCAGUUCCUCUUUUAUUUUCAGUCUAAAACACAAAUAGAGAAAAGCAACCUUCCUGCCCGUUUCACAGCUGAGUGGCCCCAGACAGAGCGCUUUAUCCUGAAUAUUUCAUCUGUGAAGCUAGAGGACUCGGCUGUCUAUUUCUGUGCAAGCAGUUUAGACACAGCGCUUCAAAUUCACUUCGGAAAGGGAACACGACUCACAGUACUUGAAAAGGGCCAAGAGGUUUUACCCCCCAAAGUGACCAUAUUUGCCCCAUCCAAGAAGGAACUCAAAGAUCAUCAAAAGGCCACAAUUGUGUGUUUAGCCAGCGGCUUCUACCCAGAUCAUGUUAAUCUUACCUGGUCCAAGAAUGGCAAAAACAUAAGAGAAGGGGUAAAGACAGAGAACCCCACUCUUGUCAAAUAUAGUGAGACCAUGAAGACAUACUCGCUGAUCAGCCGUUUAAGAAUCAUUAAGGCAGACUGGCAGAAUUCAGCGAAUGAAUUCCAGUGCACCGUUGACUUCUAUGACGAAAACAAAAAAACACCCUAUAGUGCUACUAUACAGGGUGAAGCAGUUGGUGGCGGUAAACCAGGACAAGUGCCGUAUCUCAGAGACAGCAAUCUUGGGAAACUGAUUUAUAUUCUUCUCAUUUCGAAAAGUGCUCUUUAUGGGGCAUUUGUGAUGGGCUUGAUGCUAAGAAAAAAGCUGAAGCAUGAGAAGGCCUUUGACUGAAAACAUCUCCAUCACUUGAGUUGGGUGAACUUCAUGAAGAAAGAAGAACGCAUGCUUUGUCCCUCAAAAGUUCAGAGUAGCAUUUUGGCUGUUUUGUAAAAGUAGUUGUGCUUAGUCGUUGAAGAAUUCCCCUCUUUGAUUCUCUUAAAUGCUAUAUUUUAGUAAAAUUGCAAAGCAUCUUAGGGGGGCUUUGGUGUUUCUUUUUCAUUUUAACUGUAUUUUCUUAGAAGCAAGUAUGUUUAGAACUGCAGCCUCACCUUAUACUACUGUUGCUUUCAGUCCGAGACCACAGGAUGUGUGUUUAUUCAGAAGUGAGUCCCACAAGGUUCAGUGGGACUUACUCCCAGGUAAAUAUUCACAGGAUUACAAUUUUAAUAAUGUUGUUAACUCUUCCAUUGAAUUUAAUGGGAUGUAAAGUGUUUAAUUAUGACUGGAUUAUCCUCCAUUACCUUUCUUUGAUUCUCUUCCAUGUCCCCCUUUAAUAAAGUCACAGCACGUUUUUUUUAA